UGACAUGGCCAGGUGCCCGAAGCCAGGUACUCUACAUACUACAAUCUACAUAGGGAUAAAUCAUCAGAUCAACUACAAUUUUUCUUCAUUGUACUGUGUAAAUUUGGGGAUAAAUCAUCAGAUUACCAGAGUAGAAAAUUUCAUUAUCAGUUGUUUUAUUUCAUAGAGUCCACUGGAUUUUUUAUUUUUUUUGCAAUGAAUACCCAGUGUCUAGAACCUAGAGCCGCCACUGCUGAACAUUAGGGCUAUGCUACUUUAGAGGGCAUUUUACCUUCCCUCUUAUAGUUGUUUCAUGUGCAAUCACAUGAUACCUGAAACCAGAGAGCACCUUUUCUUCCAAUGCCCAUUUGCCCUUGCGUGUUGGCAAUAUGUCUGCCCA
This 379-nucleotide long non-coding RNA is filed under the name Brachypodium distachyon (stiff brome). RNAcentral describes it as "long non-coding RNA (BDIS_LNC004495)". Lineage: Eukaryota; Viridiplantae; Streptophyta; Magnoliopsida; Poales; Poaceae. The record is from RNAcentral.